This is a long non-coding RNA of Terrapene triunguis (Three-toed box turtle), 199 nucleotides long. RefSeq lists it as uncharacterized. Lineage: Eukaryota; Metazoa; Chordata; Testudines; Emydidae. The transcript has 3 exons. The record is from RefSeq and is a predicted model, not a curated record.
CAGGCUGGGAAAGAAGAGAGAUUCUUCUUCUUCUUUCAGAUUGGGAGGCAACAGAUGCUAAGACCACCCAUGAUACAGUAGCUGAAGGUUCUGUGGAGAUAACAUUACCAUGUAUUUUUGAGAAAAAAAUGGAAGUUUCCAGCCCUCCUGCUUGCAGAGAGAAAUCUGAAACCAUGAGCUGAGCACAGAAAUGAGAAAG